Molecule: ribosomal RNA, 253 nt
Filed under: uncultured bacterium
Lineage: Bacteria
Description: partial 16S ribosomal RNA
Rfam family: Bacterial small subunit ribosomal RNA
Source: RNAcentral
UACGAAGGGGGCUAGCGUUGCUCGGAUUGACUGGGCGUAAAGGGCGCGUAGGCGGCUUGUACAGUCAGACGUGAAAUUCCUGGGCUCAACCUGGGGGCUGCGUUUGAUACGUAUGGGCUUGAGUUCGGAAGAGGGUCGUGGAAUUCCCAGUGUAGAGGUGAAAUUCGUAGAUAUUGGGAAGAACACCGGUGGCGAAGGCGGAUCUCUGGGCCGAUACUGACGCUGAGGAGCGAAAGCGUGGGGAGCGAACAGG